GAGUAACACGUAGGCAACCUGCCCUCAAGUUUGGGACAACUACCGGAAACGGUAGCUAAUACCGAAUAAUUGUUUUCUUCGCCUGAAGGAAACUGGAAAGACGGAGCAAUCUGUCACUUGGGGAUGGGCCUGCGGCGCAUUAGCUAGUUGGUGAGGUAACGGCUCACCAAGGCGACGAUGCGUAGCCGACCUGAGAGGGUGAUCGGCCACACUGGGACUGAGACACGGCCCAGACUCCUACGGGAGGCAGCAGUAGGGAAUCUUCCGCAAUGGGCGAAAGCCUGACGGAGCAAUGCCGCGUGAGUGAUGAAGGUUUUCGGAUCGUAAAGCUCUGUUGCCAGGGAAGAACGCUUGGGAGAGUAACUGUUCUCAAGGUGACGGUACCUGAGAAGAAAGCCCCGGCUAACUACGUGCCAGCAGCCGCGGUAAUACGUAGGGGGCAAGCGUUGUCCGGAAUUAUUGGGCGUAAAGCGCGCGCAGGCGGUCAUUUAAGUCUGGUGUUUAAUCGCGGGGCUCACCCCCGGAUCGCACUGGAAACUGGGUGACUUGAGUGCAAAAGAGGAGAGUGGAAUUCCACGUGUAGCGGUGAAAUGCGUAGAUAUGUGGAGGAAC
RNAcentral lists this ribosomal RNA (612 nucleotides) under Paenibacillus sp. 1Caendo104. RNAcentral describes it as "bacterial SSU rRNA". It matches the Rfam family "Bacterial small subunit ribosomal RNA", at positions 108 to 707 of the family's 1533-position model. The record is from RNAcentral. Lineage: Bacteria; Bacillati; Bacillota; Bacilli; Caryophanales; Paenibacillaceae.